Molecule: ribosomal RNA, 495 nt
Filed under: Paenibacillaceae bacterium BF.87
Lineage: Bacteria; Bacillati; Bacillota; Bacilli; Caryophanales; Paenibacillaceae
Description: bacterial SSU rRNA
Rfam family: Bacterial small subunit ribosomal RNA
Source: RNAcentral
CCCUGCUCAGGACGAACGCGGCGGCGUGCCUAAUACAUGCAAGUCGAGCGGGUUUAUCCUUCGGGAUAAGCUAGCGGCGGACGGGUGAGUAACACGUAGGUAACCUGCCUUUAAGACUGGGAUAACUAUCGGAAACGAUAGCUAAGACCGGAUAACCGGUUUUCUCGCAUGAGAGAAUCGUAAAACACGGAGCAAUCUGUGGCUUAGAGAUGGGCCUGCGGCGCAUUAGCUAGUUGGUGAGGUAACGGCUCACCAAGGCGACGAUGCGUAGCCGACCUGAGAGGGUGAACGGCCACACUGGGACUGAGACACGGCCCAGACUCCUACGGGAGGCAGCAGUAGGGAAUCUUCCGCAAUGGACGCAAGUCUGACGGAGCAACGCCGCGUGAGUGAUGAAGGUUUUCGGAUCGUAAAGCUCUGUUGCCCUAGACGAACAGCAUGAGGAGUAACUGCCUUGUGUGUGACGGUAUAGGAGAAGAAAGCCCCGGCUAACUA